GUAGGUGGCAAGCGUUGUCCGGAAUUAUUGGGGCGUAAAGCGCGCGCAGGCGGCUCUUUAAGUCUGAUGUGAAAGCCCACGGGCUCAACCGUGGAGGGUCAUUGGAAACUGGAGAACUUGAGUACAGAAGAGGAAAGCGGAAUUCCACGUGUAGCGGUGAAAUGCGUAGAGAUGUGGAGGAACACCAGUGGCGAAGGCGGCUUUCUGGUCUGUAACUGACGCUGAGGCGCGAAAGCGUGGGGAGCAAACAGGAUUAGAUACCCUGGUAGUCCACGCCGUAAACGAUGAGUGCUAAGUGUUAGGGGGUUUCCGCCCCUUAGUGCUGCAGCUAACGCAUUAAGCACUCCGCCUGGGGAGUACGGCCGCAAAGGCUGA
RNAcentral lists this ribosomal RNA (375 nucleotides) under uncultured organism. RNAcentral describes it as "partial 16S ribosomal RNA". It matches the Rfam family "Bacterial small subunit ribosomal RNA", at positions 527 to 897 of the family's 1533-position model. The record is from RNAcentral.